This 207-nucleotide ribosomal RNA is filed under the name uncultured bacterium. RNAcentral's name for it is "partial 16S ribosomal RNA". It matches the Rfam family "Bacterial small subunit ribosomal RNA", at positions 568 to 774 of the family's 1533-position model. The record is from RNAcentral.
CGCGUAGGUGGCCCGGUCAGUCAGUGGUGAAAGCGCGGGGCUCAACUCCGCGUCGGCCAUUGAUACUGCUGGGCUUGAGCACUGUAGAGGCAGGCGGAAUUCCGGGUGUAGCGGUGGAAUGCGUAGAGAUCCGGAAGAACACCGGUGGCGAAGGCGGCCUGCUGGGCAGUAGCUGACACUGAGGCGCGACAGCGUGGGGAGCAAACA